Molecule: ribosomal RNA, 868 nt
Filed under: uncultured archaeon
Lineage: Archaea
Description: bacterial SSU rRNA
Rfam family: Archaeal small subunit ribosomal RNA
Source: RNAcentral
CUCCCGUUGAUCCUGCCGGACCCGACUGCUAUCAGAGUGGGACUAAGCCAUGCGAGUCAACAUAGCAAUAUGUGGCAUACGGCUCAGUAACACGUAGUCAACAUGCCCAGGGGACGUGGAUAACCUCGGGAAACUGAGGAUAAACCGCGAUAAGUGAGGAUUUCUGGAAUGGGUAAUGACUCAAAUCUACAUGGCCCCUGGAUUGGACUGCGGCCGAUCAGGCUGUUGGUGAGGUAAUGGCCCACCAAACCUGUAACCGGUACGGGCUCUGAGAGGAGGAGCCCGGAGAUGGGCACUGAGACAAGGGCCCAGGCCCUAUGGGGCGCGGCAGGCGCGAAACCUCUGCAAUAGGCGAAAGCCUGACAGGGUUACUCUGAGUGAUUUCCGUUAAGGAGAUCUUUUGGCACCUCUAAAAAUGGUGCAGAAUAAGGGGUGGGCAAGCCUGGUGUCAGCCGCCGCGGUAAUACCAGCUCCUCGAGUGGUCGGGGCGAUUAUUGGGCCUAAAGCAUCCGUAGCCGGUUCCGUAGGUCCUCUGUUAAAUCCAGCCGCUUAACGGUUGGCCUGCAGAGGAUACCGCGGGACUAGGAGGCGGGAGAGGCGGGCGGUACUCUACGUGUAGGGGUAAAAUCCUUUGAUCCGUAGAAGACCACCAGUGGCGAAGGCGGCCCGCCAGAACGCGCUCGACGGUGAGGGAUGAAAGCUGGGGGAGCGAACCGGAUUAGAUACCCGGGUAGUCCCAGCCGUAAACGAUGCGAGCUAGAUGAUCCAGUCGCAAAUCGCGAUUGGAGUGUCGCAGGGAAGCCGUUAAGCUCGCCGCCUGGGGAGUACGGUCGCAAGACUGAAACUUAAAGGAAUUGGCGGGGGACCA